AAGUCGUAACAAGGUUUCCGUAGGUGAACCUGCGGAAGGAUCAUUACCUAGAGUUGUAGGCUUUGCCUGCUAUCUCUUACCCAUGUCUUUUGAGUACCUUCGUUUCCUCGGCGGGUUCGCCCGCCGAUUGGACAAUUUAAACCAUUUGCAGUUGCAAUCAGCGUCUGAAAAAACAUAAUAGUUACAACUUUCAACAACGGAUCUCUUGGUUCUG
RNAcentral lists this unclassified non-coding RNA (214 nucleotides) under Didymella sp. Its description in RNAcentral is "partial internal transcribed spacer region". The stretch from base 1 to 46 matches the Rfam family "Eukaryotic small subunit ribosomal RNA", at positions 1786 to 1831 of the family's 1831-position model. Lineage: Eukaryota; Fungi; Ascomycota; Dothideomycetes; Pleosporales; Didymellaceae. The record is from RNAcentral.